GAGACUGUCGUUUGGGGUGAGGUAGUAGGUUGUAUAGUUUGAGGGUUUAACCCUUGCUGUCAGAUAACUAUACAACUUACUGUCUUUCCCGAAGUGGCCGUAGUGUC
This 107-nucleotide microRNA precursor is filed under the name Danio rerio (zebrafish). RNAcentral's name for it is "let-7a-3 stem-loop (dre-let-7a-3)". Its record names the gene dre-let-7a-3. The stretch from base 12 to 92 matches the Rfam family "let-7 microRNA precursor family". From Rfam's summary of the family: This family represents the microRNAs (miRNA) let-7 and mir-98. let-7 was identified from a study of developmental timing in C. elegans, and was later shown to be part of a much larger class of non-coding RNAs termed miRNAs. The extents of the hairpin precursors are not generally known and are estimated based on hairpin prediction. The products are thought to have regulatory roles through complementarity to mRNA. Lineage: Eukaryota; Metazoa; Chordata; Actinopteri; Cypriniformes; Danionidae. The record is from miRBase by way of RNAcentral.